This 496-nucleotide ribosomal RNA is filed under the name uncultured bacterium. Its description in RNAcentral is "partial 16S ribosomal RNA". It matches the Rfam family "Bacterial small subunit ribosomal RNA", at positions 29 to 507 of the family's 1533-position model. The record is from RNAcentral.
AUGAACGCUGGCGGCGUGCCUAAUACAUGCAAGUCGAGCGAACAGACGAGGAGCUUGCUCCUCUGACGUUAGCGGCGGACGGGUGAGUAACACGUGGAUAACCUACCUAUAAGACUGGGAUAACUUCGGGAAACCGGAGCUAAUACCGGAUAAUAUAUUGAACCGCAUGGUUCAAUAGUGAAAGACGGUUUUGCUGUCACUUAUAGAUGGAUCCGCGCCGCAUUAGCUAGUUGGUAAGGUAACGGCUUACCAAGGCAAAGAUGCGUAGCCGACCUGAGAGGGUGAUCGGCCACACUGGAACUGAGACACGGUCCAGACUCCUACGGGAGGCAGCAGUAGGGAAUCUUCCGCAAUGGGCGAAAGCCUGACGGAGCAACGCCGCGUGAGUGAUGAAGGUCUUCGGAUCGUAAAACUCUGUUAUUAGGGAAGAACAAAUGUGUAAGUAACUAUGCACGUCUUGACGGUACCUAAUCAGAAAGCCACGGCUAACUACGUG